Molecule: transfer RNA, 73 nt
Filed under: Ovis aries (sheep)
Lineage: Eukaryota; Metazoa; Chordata; Mammalia; Artiodactyla; Bovidae
Rfam family: tRNA
About the family: Transfer RNA (tRNA) molecules are approximately 80 nucleotides in length. Their secondary structure includes four short double-helical elements and three loops (D, anti-codon, and T loops).
Source: Rfam by way of RNAcentral
UCCCUGGUGGUCCAGUGGCUAAGACUCUGCACUCCCAAUGCAGGGGACCCAGGUUCAAUCCUUGGUCGUGGAA